AAAUUUAAAAUUAUUUAAUUUAUUUGUUUUUAUAUAUUUUUAUUAAUUAAAAUAAUAUUAUAAAUUUAAUUGUUUUAGUAUUUUUUAAAGAAAAAAUUUUUUUAAUUAUAGUUAAUUAGGUAUUGUGAAAGAUUUUUGAAAAAAAUUGAAAAUUAAUUUGAUAAAAAGUAAGAUUUAUUUUUUGUACCUUGUGCAUCAGGGUUUAUUAAAUAAAAAUUAUUUAAUAUAUUUUUCUCGAAAUUAAAAGAUCUAUAUAAUUAUUAUUUUUAUUGUAACAAAAAUAUUUUAAAUAAUUAUAUUGAAAUGAAACGUUAUCCGUUUUUAAUGAUAUCUAGUUUUUUAAUAAAUGAAUUUAAUUCAGAUAUUAUAUUUAUUAUAAAUUUUUAUUAAAAAUUUAAUAAUUUAAUAUUAAUAUUUUAGGGGAUAAGCUUUAAAAUUUAAAUUUAUAAAUAAAUAGAUUAUUUAAAAUUUAUAGUCUUAGAAAUAGAUUUUAUUUAAAAAAUGUUAUAAUUUGUUUUAUUUUUUUUAUGAUUUUUUAUUAUUUUAAUUAUUUAUUAAAAUAUUUUAUUUAAUUAUUUAUUAAAUUUAAUAAUGAUAAAAUUAGUAAAUAAUAUUUUGUUAAUUUAAUAAAAUUUUAAUAUGAAAGGUUAAAUUAAGGAAUUCGGCAAAAUUUUAUACUCGCCUGUUUAACAAAAACAUGUCUUUUUGAAAUUAAUUUAAAGUCUAAUCUGCUCAAUGAAAAUUUUAAAUGGCCGCAGUAUCUUGACUGUGCAAAGGUAGCAUAAUAAUUUGUCUUUUAAUUAAAGGCUGGAAUGAAUGAUUGAACGAAGUAUAAUCUGUCUCUAUUUAAUUAGUUAUUGAAUUUAAUUUUUAAGUUAAAAAGCUUAAAUUUUUUUAGAGGACGAGAAGACCCUAUAGAGUUUUAUAUUAUUUUAUGUAUUUUAAAUUAAUUAUAUUUUAAUAUUUUUAAUAAUAUUUUAUUGGGGCGAUAAAAAAAUUUAAAAAACUUUUUUAUAAAAUUUUUACAUUUAUGUAUGAUUUAUUGAUCCUGUAUUUUAGAUUAUUAGAUAAAAUUACCUUAGGGAUAACAGCGUUAUUUUUUUUAGAGUUCUUAUCGAUAAGAAAGAUUGCGACCUCGAUGUUGGAUUAAAAUUAAUUUUAGGUGUAGAAGCUUAAGUUUUAGGUCUGUUCGACCUUUGAAAUUUUACAUGAUCUGAGUUCAAACCGGUGUAAGCCAGGUUGGUUUCUAUCCUUAAAUAAAUAAAAAUUUUUAGUACGAAAGGACCAUAAUUUUAAAAAAUUUUUUUAAUAAUUGAAUAUUAAUAAAUUUUGAUUACUAUUUUAACAAUUUAAUGUAAUAAUUU
RNAcentral lists this ribosomal RNA (1364 nucleotides) under Analcellicampa danfengensis. RNAcentral's name for it is "16S ribosomal RNA". The record is from RNAcentral. Lineage: Eukaryota; Metazoa; Arthropoda; Insecta; Hymenoptera; Tenthredinidae.